Non-coding RNA from Callithrix jacchus (white-tufted-ear marmoset), 10302 nucleotides. The record is from RefSeq and is a predicted model, not a curated record. NCBI's taxonomy places the organism in Eukaryota, Metazoa, Chordata, Mammalia, Primates, Cebidae.
ACACAGCCAGUGUUUUCACCUUCAGUAGAAACAGAUAAGCUGAAUCACAUGAGCUAGUCAACACUUCCUUGUAAAAUCAGCCUCGGCUGCAUGAUGCUGCAACUGCAGGCUCAUGUAAGUGUCCUGAGCGUGUUUAAGACAACAGCCACAGAAAUCAGAAGAAAAUCUUGCCCCAACAAGUGAAGAAUGGAAGUCCCAGGAAGCCAUGCAAGGUGGGUCUCUGUGUGUGGACACCAUUCUCCCUGGUCUCCUGGCGGGCCUGCCGAAUGCUGCUUUCCCAAGGGUUUCUCAGAAGGAGCAGAGAAGAGCCUGGCUCCAGCCUGUCUCCUCCCAAAACUGAGGACACGGAUGCCUCAGAGUGUGCCCUGUGCUGUUAUUUACCCUGAAAAAUACCGCAAUAGUAAUACUCAUUUGUAAAGUACAAUGGACCGGGCACAGUAGCUCACGCCUGUAAUCCCAGCACUUUGGGAGGCCAAGGUGGGCAGAUCACCUGAGGUCCGGAGUUUGAGAUCAGCCUGGCCAACAUGGCAAAAACCCAUCUCUACUAAAAAUACAAAAUUAGCCAAGCAUGGUGGCACGCGCCUGUAAUCCCAGCUACUCGGGAGGCUGAGGCAGAAAUCGCUUGAACCUGGGAGGUAGAGGCUGCAGUGAGCUGAGAUUGUGCCACUGCACUUCAGCCUGGGUGACAGAGGGAGACUGUCUCAAAAAGAAAAAAACCCUAUAUGUAAAUAUAUCAAAAGCCCUACUCUCCUUUGAAGGUUUAUCUAUAUGGGGGAAGAGGAAGGGGACACUUUGCCAAAAAAAAAUCAAUCAAGCAUAUUUUUCUACAGCUUAACAAUACCCUUGUCCCUCAGUAUCCACAGGGGAUUGGCUUCAGGACCUCCCCACACCUGCCAGAUAACAAAAUCCUGGGUGCUUAGGUCCCAGAGCUCAAGUCCGCCUGUGGAACCCGUAGAUGCAAAAAUGUGGCUGUUGACUCCUUAGCACCCUGGGAAUUCUGUCUUUUCAGUUGCAGUUGGUUGAAUCUGUAGCUGCAGAACUGGCAGGUGCGGAGGCUGCCUGUGCAUCUUGGCCUUUCCCUGGCCAUGUGCAUAUCUACUCAUUCUUUUUAGAGGCUGUGCGGUAUUUUAUAGCUCAGCUACACCAUCAUUUUCUUCCUUUUUUUUUUUUUAAAGACAGUCUUGCUCUGUCACCCAGGCUGGAGUGCAGUGGUGUAAUCUCAGCUCACUACAACCCCCGCCUCCCAGGUUCAAGCGAUUCUCCUGCCUCAGCCUCCCGAGUAGCUGGGAUUGUAGGUGCCCGUUACCAUGCCAUGCUAAUUUUUGUAUUUUUCGUAGAGACGGGGUUUCACCAUGCAGGCCAGGAUGGUCUCGAACUCCCAAUCCCAAAUGACCUGCCCACCUCAGCUUCCCAAAGUGCUGGGAUUACAGGCGUGAGCCACCAUGCCCAGCCCCAUUGUUUAUUUCAUCAGUGCUACGGUUUGAAUGUCUAUGUCCCCCCAAAAUUCUUAUGUUGAAACUGAAUCCCCAGUGUGAUAGUAUUAAGAAGCGGGACUUUAGGAAGUGAUUCAGUCAUGAAGGAGGAGCCCUCACAAACAGAGUUAUGACCUUAUAAGACAGGUGCAGGGGAGCUGCUUGACUCCUGGUGGGUUUCCACCUGCUGUGUAGCAAGCAACAUGGCGCCAUCUUGGAACAAAGAGCAGCCCUCACUGGGCACUAAGUGUCACACCUGGUCUUGGACUUCCAGAGGGACAGCUCUAUUAUUUAUAAAUUAGUCUGUGUGGACUUCCAGCCUCCACAGCUGUAAGGGACAGCUUUAUAAUUUCGUCCGUGGCAUUUUAUUACAGCAGCGUGAACAGACUGAGACAGCCAGUCUUCUAGCAAUAGAGCCAACAGGCUGUGUUUAGUUCUUUUGGCUAUUAGGAUUGCAUCAUCUGUGAAAAUCUUUCUGUAAAUGUCCUUGCUUGCUUGUACUCACAUUUUUGUAGGACAUUAUCCUAAAAAGGGUUACAUUUCUAAUUAAAAUGAUUAAGGCGAGGGAUAGUGGUUCAUGCCUAUAAUCCCAGCACUUUGGAAGACCAAGGCAGGCAGAUCAUUUGAGCCCAGGAGUUUGAGGCUGACCUGGGCAAUAUGGUGAGACCCUGUCUCUAUUUUCUGGGUAUGGUGGUGCAUUCCUGUAGUCCCAGCUACUUGAGAGGCUGAUGCGAGAGGAUCCCUUGAACCCCGGGAUGUUAAGGUUGCAGUGAGCUGUGACUGCACUGCUGCACUCCAGCCUGGUGACAGAGGGAGGCCCUGUUUCAAAAAAGAAAAGGAAUCUGGUUAAAGGAAAUGUACAUAUGUCACCAGCUCUUGCCAGAAAGCCUGCUGCAGUUUGUGCACACUCCCCUGGGCGGUGUGGGGCCCAGCGCACAGCCUCACUUACCCACGGUGUUUUCCUGCUUCCUGAGUUGGAGGAUGUAGUUUUCGUCUCUAUCUGAAGAAACCCAGUAAGAAGUUCCCCUCUGGUUUUCAUUGCACAAGACCAGCUGUGACCCAACUGUGUCUUGCAAGAAAGUGUUUGUGUUCAAGGUCCAUUGAGUGAAGCCCUUGUGCCUCCCUCCCUCGUGACUUAUGGGUUUGCUUUGCACACCAGUGAGCGUCCUUUGUGCAGGUAGUGAGGUCACGUUUUGCUGUUAAGUGGUUGUUUUAUGUUCUUUGACCCUUUCUGCAGCAGCAGCAGGUGGGCGUCUGCUAUGCACUGUGCUCAGGUGCAGACAGCAUCUGGAGAGUACCUUGAAUUUUUGUACAGACCUCUGUUACUCUGCAGUACAGACAAAAGUCUUGGAAUCCAUGCUAUCCAUGCAAGAAUGUUGGAAUGCUGUUUUCAUUUGGUUUCUUAUUCUGAAAGUGUGCCUUUAAAUGUUAAGAAUCAGAAUCCUAGAGGAUUUUGCACACAAUCCACACUCAUCAUGGGGAAGGGGCAUCUGGACACCAACAUUUGUUUCCAUCUCAAAAGAAAGAAAGUGGAUUUUGCCCCACAGGUGACAGAAGCCAGAGUGGUUUAAAGGCUGGUGGGUCCCCAAGAAGAAAGCUGGAGCCCAGCACGCUGGGCUGAGCCCCAGUAGGAGGGGAACCCCCAUCCGUUUGAGGAGGAGCCACUGCCUAGCUUCCAGCAAUUACCCUGGAGACCCCCAUGGAGAAGCUCUGUGUUCAGUAAGGCACCAGGAGGCAUAGAACGAGGGCCUGAGGGUGCUGCCAGCCAGAAAGGCCUAAGGUGGAGGCUUCUGUGUACCACACAGAGUCCCUCCCACCCCAUCAUGGGCAGGUGAUGGCUGCUAAGACCUCCCAAGCUCCCAGAAGUAGUGAAAGGACCAGCACCUUGGAAGAGACCUUGAUUUGGGACAACCAGAAUGCAGUGGACACCAGAGCAGAGAGUGCAGCCAGGUAUGUUGGCUCACUCCUAUAGUCCCAGCACUGUGGCAGGUCGAGGCAGGUGGAUCACCUGAGGUCAGGAUUUCAAAACCAAUCCAGCCAACAUGACAAAACCCUGUCUCUACUAAAUAAAUUAGCCGGUUGUGGUGGUGCACGUCUGUAAUCCCAGCUUCUUGGAAGGCUGAGGCAGGAGAAUCACUUGCAGUGAGCUGAGAUCAUGCCACUGUACUCCAGGUUGGGUGACAGAACAACACUAUGUCUCAAAAUUAAAUUACAUUGCUGGGAAUGACCGGGCAUGGUGGUUCAUGCCAGUAAUCCCAACACUUUGGGAGGCUGAGGUGAGCAGAUCACCUGAGGUCAGGAAUUAGAGACCAGCCUGGCCAACAGGGUGAAACCCCAUCUCUACUGAAAAUAUAAAACUUAGCUGGGCGUGGUGGUGGGCACCUGUAAUCCGAACUACUCUGGAGGCUGAGACAGGAGAAUUUCUUGAAUCUGGGAGUCAGAGGCUGCAGUGAGCUGACAUGGCACCAUUGCACUCCAGCCUGAGCCACAGAGACUCUAUCUCAAAUAACAAGAGCAGAGAGUCACUCAAUGGCCAAGCAGAACAAGUUGGACCUCAGUAGAGGCCAGGGAGAUGGGGUGGUGACCAUGGCCGGGCCCUCACCGCCAGCCUCCCAGCCUCGCCGCCGUGAUGCUCGAUGAGCCUCCCAGGUGCCCCCAGGCAAACGGGAAGGACAGAAAGCCAGAGCCAGGGAGUCAUCUGGAAGAUAAGCCACGGAGCUAGAAGACAGUCUUUCAAUCUUGAGAGAAACUGGGGGUCUGGGAGCUGAAGCGAGCUCAUUUUUAAAAACUAAAAAUAAGUUAAACUUUUUUCUGCCAGGAUAUAUAGUCAGCAAACAAUACCCAUUGCGGUGUGAAAGGAGACUCACGAGCUCGCGCCUGUGUGCCUGGCAUGGCGUUUCCCGUCAUUCCACUCCCACCUGCCCUCAUCACUGACGCAGGACCUUCGCAGCUUGCAUGUCCAGGAAUGGAGCUGACAGGCCCCAGAAGGGACUGGGCUUGGGCCUCUGGUCAAGUCUGCAGUGCUCUCUACCCAGGGAAGCUAAGUCAGGGGGAAAAGAUGACCUCACAAGCUCUGCCAUGAGGGUUCCUUUACGGUCCGACCCAAGAGUGUUCGGUGAACUCAAGGAAACAUGCCUGAAUUCCACCCUGCCUUUAUUCCGAUGGGUUAGGCAGGCAGAGGCGGUCCAUGUGCAGGUGCCAGAGAGCUCCCGAGGUUGACCAGGAAGCAGGUGGUAUUUGGUAUGGAGAACGCGUGGUCUGCUCCUCAGUGAUGAGCCAAGGGGCCAGCAGAGCUCCCACGCCUGGUGUGCAGUGCCUCCCGCCUGGGCCAAGCUCCCCUCCCCUCUUUGCCUGCCUUUCUCUCUGCCUCUCUUUCUCUUCCUGCCUCUUUUUAUUUUCUUUUUCUUUUUUUUUUUUGUUUGAGACAGGGUCUCUCUGCCACCUAGGCUGGAGUGCAGUGAUGCCAUCUUGGUUCACUGCAGCCUCCACCUCCCAGCCUCCAGCGAUCCUCCCACCUCAGCCUCCUGAGCAGCUUGAACUAUAGGCGCUCUCCAGCAUACCAGGCUAGCUUUUGUAUUUUUUGUAGGGAUGGUGUUUCACCAUGUUGCCUACUCUGGUCUCCCCUGAGCUCAAGCAAUCCUCCCGCCUCAGCCUCCCGAGUAGCUGGGCCUACAGGCACGUGCCACCAUGCCAGGCUAAUAUUUGUAUGUUUACUAGAGACAAGGUUUCACUGUGUUUGCCAGGAUGGUCUCAGACUCCUGACCUCAGGUGAUUCUUCCACCUCAACCUCCCAAAGUGCUGGGAUUACAGGCAUGAGCCACCACGCCCAGCCCUCCAAGGGGUGUUUUUAAAAAUCAAUCUUUGUGUCUUGGUCUAGGCCUGCAGGGCUCAAGUUUGUGGUGACUCCUACAGCAGAAGGCAGACCAUAAAGGAAGCCACGGUGCUUCAGGACCCCCCCUCCCUUUUAACCUGGAGGGGCAAGAAGCACUUUGCAGCAGAACACCCACACCCUGUGCCUGUGAGCUACGGGGCCUCCACCACCACCAGCACUGGUCACAGUGCCAGGGCUCUGUGUGCUGCCUGGCGAGGGGCUGCUGCCUCUAGCAGCCGGAGGGGCUGAUGGUGCUCUCAGCAGGGCACCCUACUGGAGGCUGGUGGAGGUCCACUGUCACACACUUUAACAGAACCAGAGGCCAGGCAGGGAGGGCUAGAAAGAGAAAACUAACAGCAGGCAUUCCAUGUGUGUGACCAGGUUGAUUCAUGAGCAUGUGAAGGCACCUUCAGGGACUUCCAGAAGUACUUGUCAACAGUUGGGGGCGGGGUGGGGUCCGACAGGGGAGUGGGGAGAGAGGCAUCCAUGCAGGCCCAGUUGACCACAGGCCGAUGUGGCUGGGUAAGAGAGAAGACCCUCCCCUCACCCAAAGUUCUUUCCCACCCCUGGCUGAUUCUCAGUAAAGACUCAAAACCGAAACAUGUUUCUUCAAAGCGUGUAAAUGCCCACAGCAAGUAGCGGGCUGCAAACCACAGCUGCCUCCAGCCUGUGUGUACCGUGCACUGAACUGGGGCUGGGAGAGGGAUGUGUUAAGCCCUGUGGCUCCCGGGAAGGGCACAGCUGGUCACUGGUCAUUGUGUGGAGCAAACUGGCUGCCUCCAAAGGCCCUUGGUCUCCAUCCUUCCCAGGCAGCCCUCGCAGACCGGAACCCUCAAGGCGUCCUAAAGUAUCGUGGAGACCUGCACCUGCCCGUGGAGUGUGUCCACACAGGCCAACAUUUACUCCUAGAGAUGUUGACAGCACACCUUCUAGCACGUCUCAGCCCAGGAGCCAAGGGUCGUCCCUUUAGUUGCUCACCAAGGGCUGUUGUUCUGGCCUGCAAGUCCUCAUCCGCUGUGAAUAUGCAGAACGGAGCCAGGAGCACAAGUGCAUUGGUGCAGUUCCAAGGAGGCCAUGUGCUUGGCUCAUUGCAGAAUCCCAUCUGGAUUUUAUUUUGCCGAAGACAAGGAAGGUCCUUUUCUGUGUAACUAGGGAGCAUUUGGAGAAUCCGCUCCUAGCUCACAAAGAGGAGGCCUCCAGAGUGGAGCCGCCUUUGACUGGCAUCGGGGACACCCACACAGGGCAUGCUGGGCUGAUGCCAGCUACACUUGCCAUCUGGGUUUGUGUCCUCAUCUGGGCUUGGCCAGACCCCAUGUCUCCAACAAACUAGUGGUCUCCCAACUGAGAGAUCCGGGAAGAAGCCAGCCAGGGGCUCACACCUACAAUCCCAGCACUCUGGGAGGCCAGAGCAGGUGGAUCACCUGAGGUCAGGUGUUGGAGACCAGCCUGGCCAACAUGGUGAAAACCUGUCUCCACUAAAAAUACAAAACGUAGCUGGGCAUGCUGGUGGCAGGCGCCUGUAAUCUCAGCUACUCAGGAGGCUGAGGUGAGAGAAUUGCUUGAACCUACGAGACAGAAGUUGCAGUGAGCUAAGACCACACCACUUUACUCCAGCCUGGGCAACAGAGUGAGACCCCAUCUCAGAAAAGAAACAAAAACCCAAACAAACCAGAAAAGAGAGAGAGACAGAGAGAGAGAGAGAGCGUAAGCAAGGCUGUUCCUUCAGACCCGACUGCCCUGAAAGCAGGAACUCUGGCAGCCCUUUGCCUCUGUCUGGCUCAGGCCAUGUUUUCGGGGCCCAGGGGCUCAGGGCUAUUUGUCAGCCUCACCAGCACAUGUGCAGACACCCAAACGGGCUGCAUUGUAUCUGACUGUGUCUUUUCAAUUCAAUUUGCUUCUUUACUGAAUAUGACAGGUCCCUUUCAAUGCUCUUUGAAAACUGUAACCUUAAUCUGAAAUAAGGUACAAAAAAGCUAUUUGUUAAAACCUUUUUUAGGACAGGGUCUCACUCUCCUGCCCAGGCUGAAGUGCAGUGGCAUGGCCACAGUUCACUGCAGCCUUGACCUGGGCUUAAGUGAUUCUCCCACCUCAGCCUCCAGAGUACCUGAGACUACAGGAACAUGCCACCGUAACAGGCUAAUUUUUUUUUUGAGACAGAGUCUUUCCCUGUUGCCAGGCUGGAGUGCAGUGGCGUGAUCUCAGCUCACUGCAACCUCCACCUCCUGGGUUCAAGCAAUUCCCCUGCCUCAGCCUCUCGAGUAGCUGGAACUACAGGCACAAGCCACCACACCCAGCUAAUUUUUUGUGCGUUAGUAGAGACGGGUUUUACCAGGUUGGCCAGGAUGAUCUCGAGCUCCUGAUUUCGUGAUCUGCCCACCUUGGCCUCCCAAAGUGCUAGGAUUACAGGAAUGAGCCACCGUGACCAGAUGACAGGCUAAAUUUUCUUUUUUGAGACGGAGUCUUGCUUUGUUGCCCAGGCUGUAGUGCAGUGGCACGAUCUUGGCUCAUGGCAUCCACCACCGCCCAGUUUAAGCAAUUCCCCUGCCUCAGCCUCCUGAGUAGCUUGGACUACAGGUGGGCGCCACCACACCUAAUUUUUUUGUAUUUUAGUAGAGAUGGGGUUUUACCAUGUUGGCCAGGAUGGUCUCAACCUCUUGACCUUGUGAUUCACCUGCCUCGGCCUUCCAAAGUUCUGAGAUUACAGGCGUGAGCCACCGUACAUGGUCAACAAGCUAAUUUUUAAAAAAUGUUUGUAGAUGGCUGGGCAUGGUGGCUCACACCUGUAAUCCCAGCACUUUGGGAGGCCGAGGUGGGAGGAUGGCUUGAGCCCAGGAGGUGAAGUCCAGCCUACUCAAGAUGGUAAGACCCUGCCUGUCUCUACAAAAAUAGAAAUAAAUGUUAAAAUUAUAAAUUAUGAAAAUAGAGCAAUAAAAAUACAAACACAAAUUAUAGAUCACAAAAGUAGAAGUUUACAGCUCCAGUGGCCCCAGCAUCUCAGGAGGCAGAAGUGGGAGGCUUGCUUGAGCCCAGGAGUUCAAGGCUGCAGUGAGCUAUGAUCGCGCCACUGCACUCUAGCCUGUAUGACAGAGCGAGACCCUAUCUAUUUAAAAACAAACAAACAAAAACAAAAAAGUCGAGAUGAGGACUCACUGUGUUGCCCAGGCUGGUUUCAAACUCCUGGGGUCAAGCAAUCCCAAAGUUCUGAGAUGACGGGCGUGAGCCACCGUGCCCAGCCGUAAAGUUCUAUUUUUUAAAAAGCAUCUUGGUUGACAGGGGUGCCUAUGAAAGAAAAAGAGGACCCGGUUCAACAGCAAAUCCACACAUCCUGAGCCACAGAACAACCCAAGACUAGUUGCAGCCAGCACGCGGGGGCACAGGUGUUUUUUAAUCCACGGUCUGGCGGGGCUCACUGAAGACAGGCAUGGGGCACAGCCAUCAUGUGGGGCCGGCGUGUUUGAUCCACUGUCUGACUGAAGACAGGCUAUUCUAACUGAAGAACGCGCAGCAGCAGUGUGGGGGCCUGCGCUGUUCCGGUCUGGCUUACCUCCCAUUCGGGCAUAGGCUUCAUUUAGGGCAGAAAAGACAAAGCUGUGGGAUUGACAUUCCUUGUGCGGCUCCGUUUGUUUCUCAGACCCUGCGGGGACAGGGCUCCAACCAGAAGCCAAGUCCUCUGAGGACACUGCGUCUCUGGGACCCAGGUGGGGGUGGGGGCUGGUGCCCCGCUCUGGAAAGACAGCUUUGAGAAGAGGCCUGCCUGGCUCAAGCCUCUGGUCUCCUUGGGCCUGCUCCUUCCUCCCGAUUCACCCCUGCUUUCUAGGUGCACCUCAGCUGUCAUUCAAGAGAAGUCCUGUCUUCACAGCUGGUAAAGGUAGAUUAGAUGGGACCUUUCCCAGGAUUUGAUUUAAGUUUCUUUCUUUCUUUUUUUUUUUUUUUAAAGACAAGGUUUCACCAUGUUGGUCAGGCUGGUCUUGAACUCCCGACCUCAGGUGACCCGCCCGCCUCGGCCUCCCAGAAUGCUGGGAUUACAGGCAUUAGCCACUGCACCAGGCCUUGAGUUUCUUUAAGCAAUUUCCUUUGGAAAACAUCCAGAUAAGACGCAGGAUGGGCCCAGGAGCAAGGCUGUUCAGAAAAUCCAAAGUAGAUGAGCUGUGUGAACUCACGGCUGAGGACUGUGGACACAGUCCUGGCUUCCAGAGUCUGAGCUGCACGGUUCUUACGUAGGGACAAAAAGCAUCACCGUCCCUCCCACCCAGAAGGGCUCAGGUGGGCUGAAAUUCCGUGAGUUCAAGGAGGUGCCUUGGCCAGGCCAUAGGUGCUCUCUGGGUUCCCCUCGGCACCAUGUGGUCCCCAGUCGGAGAGGCUGGACAAGAGCGGACAAACCUGACGUCCCUCCUCAUUAUGUGUAUAUAUAUUUUUGAGAUAGUCUCACUCUUGUUGCUCAUACUGGAGUGCAGUGGCUGGAUCUCUGCUCACUGCAACCUCUGCCUCCCAGGUUCAAGUGAUUCUCCUGCCUCAGCCUCCGGAGUAGCUGGGACUACAGGUGUGUGCCACCACGCCUGGCUAAGUUUUAUAUUUUUAGUAGAGACAGUUUCACACACAUUGGCCAGGCUGGUCUUGAACUCCUGACCUCAAGUGAUUCACCUGCCUCGGCCUCCCAAAGUGCUGGGAUUAUAGGCAUGAGCCACUGUGCCUGGCUCCCUCCUCAUUGUAGUUUGACAGUAAAGAAGCUGGCUAAAACCCACCAAAACCAAGAUGGAAACGAGAGUGACCUCUGGUCAUCCUCACUGCUACAUUGCCACAGCACCGUGACAGUUACAAAUGCCAUGGCAAUCAAUGUCAGGAAGUUACCCUCUAUGCUCUAAAAAAAGGGAGGCAUAAAUAACCCACUCCUCGGGGUUGCUGGAUCUAUUAGCCAUUAUUUUGUUCCUUUACCUUCCUAAUAAACUUGCUUUCACUUUA